GAAUUUUCCUUUUUCAUUUUGUACUUAAUCCCUCCAGUCUUUUGUGACAACCCAGCCCAUAUUUGCUCAUUGUGACAGACGCUAUCAAAAUCCUCUUAAAUGCCAGAGCCAUUGGAUAAAGGGAUAAGGAGGGAGUGACUUGCAGAGAUGCCCUAUUGCAGCUAUUUAAAAGCAAGAAGGACUGAAUUGCAACCAAAUGGUUGUGGUCAGAUACGCUGAGUUAUUUCUAUAGAGCAGGACUUUCAAAAGUACCAGACUGAACAUCAUACUUGGGUGCCCAGAAGGUAUACAACUGGUGCAGGCAGAGCACCACUGCUGUAAGAGCUGCUUACAGAGAAACAACCAACCGACCUAAAACCCAAGAUGCAGAGGUUGUCCCUGACUGACUUGCAACACUUGACCAUCCGUGCAAGGGAGGAGAGCCCCUGUGUGCCUCUGCCAUCCUUGUGUAUGCUGAGCUUGUCUCUGUCAGGGUUAGGUUUACCUGCCUUCCAUUUCGUUUCUCCUUGCUCUGGUUCUGUAAGCGAACUGUACAGUGUGAACUGUAAUUGGAAUAAGAUGCCCUUGGAAAAUCUGACACAUUACAGAAAAAUUGUGUCAUGAUUGACAGAGAGGUUUUGUUAUAUUCAGAAGGUGUAGUUAUAUGUGAAAUAAAAUGAGAGGCGGAAGCAAAGUGAUUUUCCUUGUUUGGGAAAGCUAAGCAAGAGUUUGUUUCAGUUCUGCUGGUAGGGAAGAUGACAUUAGGAAAUAGCUAAAUUCUGUAUCUAUUAAGUUCUAACGAAAACUACAGUAUACACAAACAUGCUGCUCCUCCUUACUGCCUGAGAGAGACUGUUAUCAUCAUAUUUUGUGACCAAAGGUAUAUUAUUGAAAGAACAAAUGUUGGCUUCCCCCUCCUCCCCCCCUCCCCAUUAUGCUUUUAAACCUAUUACUGAACUUUGGAGUUCAACAUAUUAAAGUUCAUCUGCAGUUAGCAAAAUGGCACAUUUUCUCUAUAGAAGCCGAAUCUUAAAUUAUGGAAAUAUGCAGCAGCAAAUUAUGUAGUACCUUUCUACAAAUCACUGACGACAUAAUAGUAUGAAUUUCUGAGGAAACAGUAAUGUGUUAAACCAAGCUUUCUUUGUUCCUCGUGUGGCAUUACAGGCAGAGAAGAUGAGAUAACGCCAUAUAGUUGAUCUUUUUCCAGUGCUUUUGUAAAGGCUGAAAUGUAUUAUCUUUGGUGUAUCACUGCCUUUUGGUAAAAUGAGGUAAGAAAGUUGUUUUCUGUUUUCUCUCAUAAGCCAACCAAAGCCCAGCAUGUUUUUGGGGUCCAAUUUUGAAUUUUUGUUCAUAUUACAAAUCGAUGUGACAUGGCAACUAUUGAGGCUUUCUGGCAUGUACAAAACAUUUGUUCAGCUGAAAAAUAAGUGGCGGAAAAAGAGCCAGCGGUGACAUGUCCAGAUGGGAGCACAUUGGAGUGCUGCGAAGCAAAACACCUGGCAUCAAGAAAUGGGGAAAUACAGUUGAUGACUGUGUGCCUGGAUGCAGGGCAUCCAUGUGAGUGGGCAUUGCAGCUUUGUUGAGGACCACCACUUCUGAGAUCUGGAUUCUUUAAAGCUGAUGCUUUGUGAAAUGUGAUGCUUUGAUGUUAGAUUAAAAAAAAUAAAUAUUGCAGACUCUUUGCAAGGAAUUAAUCUGAUAUUUUUUGAAAAGAUGGUCUUCUAGCCAACAAAGUUUGUAAAUUCAUAACCGGUCUUUCACUGGACUUCAGUUAUUUCCAGGUACCAUAGCCCAUGCCUGCAGCAGUAGCCCCAGGCUGCUCCGAGGGGGUUCAUCAUUAUCAGUGGGGAGGACUUUUUUCCUGCUGUGGAACCUGCACUGGUAGGACAUUGCAUGGAGGGGUUCUUAGGGUUUGUACAUUUGGUCAGGUCUCUUGAUAAGACAUGGAGAGUUUCACAUUGCUG
This is a long non-coding RNA of Strigops habroptila (Kakapo), 1943 nucleotides long. RefSeq lists it as uncharacterized. The record is from RefSeq and is a predicted model, not a curated record. The transcript has 3 exons. NCBI's taxonomy places the organism in Eukaryota, Metazoa, Chordata, Aves, Psittaciformes, Psittacidae.